GUUAGGAAUAUUGGACAAUGGGCGCAAGCCUGAUCCAGCCAUGCCGCGUGAGUGAUGAAGGCCUUCGGGUUGUAAAGCUCUUUAGUCCACGAAUAUAAUGACUGUAGUGGAAGAAUAAGCCCCGGCUAACUUCGUGUCAGCAGCCGCGGUAAUACGAAGGGGGCGAGCGUUAUUCGGAAUCACUGGGCGUAAAGCGUGCGUAGGCUGUUUUGUAAGUCAGAAGUGAAAGCCCAGGGCUUAACCCUGGAAUUGCUUUUGAAACUACAAGACUCGAAUUCGGGAGAGGAUAGCGGAAUUGUCAGUGUAGCAGUGAAAUGCGUAGAUAUUGACAGGAACACCAGUGGCGCAAGCGGCUAUCUGGACCGAUAUUGACGCUGAGGCACGAAAGCGUGGGGAGCAAACAGGAUUAGAUACCCGUGUAGUCC
Molecule: ribosomal RNA, 425 nt
Filed under: uncultured bacterium
Lineage: Bacteria
Description: partial 16S ribosomal RNA
Rfam family: Bacterial small subunit ribosomal RNA
Source: RNAcentral